UACGUAGGGUGCAAGCGUUAAUCGGAAUUACUGGGCGUAAAGCGUGCGCAGGCGGUUGCACAAGACAGAGGUGAAAUCCCCGGGCUUAACCUGGGAACUGCCUUUGUGACUGUGCGGCUAGAGUGUGUCGAGAGGGGGUAGAAUUCCACGUGUAGCAGUGAAAUGCGUAGAUAUGUGGAGGAAUACCGAAGUGGCGAAGGCAGCCCCCCUGGGAUAACACGUGACGCUCAUGCACGAAAGCGUAGGGGAGCAAACAGG
RNAcentral lists this ribosomal RNA (258 nucleotides) under uncultured bacterium. RNAcentral describes it as "partial 16S ribosomal RNA". It matches the Rfam family "Bacterial small subunit ribosomal RNA", at positions 524 to 776 of the family's 1533-position model. The record is from RNAcentral.